AGUGAACGCUGGCGGUAGGCCUAACACAUGCAAGUCGAACGGCAGCACAGAGGAGCUUGCUCCUUGGGUGGCGAGUGGCGGACGGGUGAGGAAUACAUCGGAAUCUACUCUGUCGUGGGGGAUAACGUAGGGAAACUACGCUAAUACCGCAUACGACCUACGGGUGAAAGCAGGGGAUCUUCGGACCUUGCGCGAUUGAAUGAGCCGAUGUCGGAUUAGCUAGUUGGCGGGGGUAAAGGCCCACCAAGGCGACGAUCCGUAGCUGGUCUGAGAGGAUGAUCAGCCACACUGGAACUGAGACACGGUCCAGACUCCUACGGGAGGCAGCAGUGGGGAAUAUUGGACAAUGGGCGCAAGCCUGAUCCAGCCAUACCGCGUGGGUGAAGAAGGCCUUCGGGUUGUAAAGCCCUUUUGUUGGGAAAGAAAUCCAUCUGGUUAAUACCCGGGUGGGAUGACGGUACCCAAAGAAUAAGCACCGGCUAACUUCGUGCCAGCAGCCGCCGUAA
This 506-nucleotide ribosomal RNA is filed under the name uncultured bacterium. RNAcentral's name for it is "partial 16S ribosomal RNA". It matches the Rfam family "Bacterial small subunit ribosomal RNA", at positions 29 to 523 of the family's 1533-position model. The record is from RNAcentral.